CCCUUAGAUGUGCUGGGCCGCACGCGGGAUACAAUGACCCGUUCAGAAAGUAUAACCUGACCCGGAAGGGAGUAGGUAAUCUUUUUAAUGCGGGUCGUGCUAGGGAUCGAUCUUUGCAAUUAUAGAUCUUGAACGAGGAAUACCUAGUAAGUGCAAGUCAUCAGCUUGUACUGAUUACGUCCCUGGUGUUUGUACUCACCGCCCGUCGCUCCUACCAAUUUCGAAUGAUCCGGUGAACCUUUUGGAUUGGGUGCAAGCCUAAGAAGUUAAGUAAACCUUAUCAUUUAGAGGAAGGAGAAGUCGUAACA
Molecule: ribosomal RNA, 308 nt
Filed under: uncultured eukaryote
Lineage: Eukaryota
Description: partial 18S ribosomal RNA
Rfam family: Eukaryotic small subunit ribosomal RNA
Source: RNAcentral